Molecule: long non-coding RNA, 817 nt
Organism: Oncorhynchus tshawytscha (Chinook salmon)
Lineage: Eukaryota; Metazoa; Chordata; Actinopteri; Salmoniformes; Salmonidae
Source: Ensembl
UUUUCAGCCCAGUCAGUCACUCAGCCAGUUUCUGCCUAGUCAGUCAGUCAGUCAGUUAGUUUCAGCCCAGUCAGUCAGUCAGUCAGUUUCAGCCCACCCAGUCAGUCAGUCAGUUUCAGCCCAGUCAGUCAGUCAGUUUCAGCCCAGUCAGUCAGUCAGUUUCAGCCAAGUCAGUCAGUCAGUCAGUCAGUUUCAGCCCAGUCAGUCAGUCAGUUUCAGCCCAGUCAGUCAGUCAGUCAGUUUCAGCCCAGUAAGUCAGUCAGCCAGUUUCUGCCUAGUCAGUCAGUCAGUCCGUUAGUUUCAGCCCAGUCAGUCAGUCAGUCAGUCAGUUUCAGCCCAGUCAGUCAGUCAGUCAGUUUCUGCCCACCAAGUCAGUCAGUCAGUCAGUUUCAGCCCAGUCAGUCAGUCAGUUUCAGCCCAGUCAGUCAGUCAGUCAGUUUCAGCCCAGUAAGUCAGUCAGCCAGUUUCUGCCUAGUCAGUCAGUCAGUCCGUUAGUUUCAGCCCAGUCAGUCAGUCAGUCAGUCAGUUUCAGCCCAGUCAGUCAGUCAGUCAGUUUCUGCCCAGUCAGUCAGUCAGUCCGUUUUCAGUCAGUCAGUCAGUCAGUCAGUUUCAGCCCAGUCAGUCAGUCAGUCAGUUUCAGCCCAGUCAGUCAGUCAGUUUCAGCCCAGUCAGUCAGUCAGUCAGUCAGUCAGUUUCAGCCCAGUCAGUCAGUCAGUUUCAGCCCAGUCAGUCAGUCAGUUUCAGCCCAGUCAGUCAGUCAGUCAGUUUCAGCCCAGUCAGUCAGUCAGCCAGUUUCUGCCUAGUCAGUCAGUCAGUC